GCCAUCGAAGACGACGAGCUCAUCUCCUACAUCAUCCACGGACUCGACGUCGACUACCAGCCCCUCAUCUCUGCCCUCGAUGCAUGCGUCAUGCCAGUCUCCCUCGACGAGCUCUACGCCAUGCUCAGCAACUUCGAUC
This is a non-coding RNA of Triticum urartu, 139 nucleotides long. NCBI's taxonomy places the organism in Eukaryota, Viridiplantae, Streptophyta, Magnoliopsida, Poales, Poaceae. The record is from Rfam.